Molecule: long non-coding RNA, 2837 nt
Organism: Daucus carota subsp. sativus
Lineage: Eukaryota; Viridiplantae; Streptophyta; Magnoliopsida; Apiales; Apiaceae
Exons: 4
Source: RefSeq, a predicted model, not a curated record
CGAUUUAAACUUCAAAUCUUUUGAGUCAGUUUUAUAUCCCAAGUUUAUAGGCACGACUUCCAUUUUCAAACUACUCUCCAUCUAUGCACCACCAUUCAUGUAUUCAAAUGUCUUUGCAGAUUUCAUAUAGCACGAUUGAGAUGGAACAUAAAAGUUUGUAUUGUAUCAUGGUUUAUUCAUAUGUUCAAAUGCAGUCGGACGUGUUUUCAAUUAUGGUUUAAUCUCGAACAGGUCGUAAAUUGUAUGAAGGGGAUUGUUUUGAAUUGGGGAAAAGAUGAGCAGGCCUUUUUUCUGCGGAAAUUUUGAGUACGAAACUUUCCAAUCGGACCUGGAGCGUUUGUUUUCCAAGUACCCGAGAGUAAAGCGCGUCGACAUGAAAUCUGUACGCGGCAUCGGGGAUGGAUUUGUAUGUGUUUGGAGUUUAGGAUGAGCUUUUGGAGUUUUGUUUUGAUUGGUUAUUUGGUAUUGAUGUCGUAGUUGACCCGGGAAGACCUGUUUCAAUCCGGGUGUGCUCAUUCGUAGAGUCUUGAAAUGCAGUAUUACCCGCUUUGCUUAAAGAUAAUGGUAUCGAUCAUCUGAUUCAUAAUUUCUGCCCGUUGUCACAAGCCUGAAACUGCCUCCUCAUCUUACUUUGCAUCUCUCAAGCGAUGGAUAGUGGUACUACCACUUUUGGUUGUAGAGAUGGAUUUUUGACGCCAUCACAGAGACGGCUACACGACGUUGAUCUAUCUAAAGUAUCAACUCCCGCACCAGAUUUUGUCCGUUUCAGCUGAACAAUCUGGUAUGAUCCAUCAGAGUGUGUAAGGUACUCGAAUAGCUCAACUGAUUUAUUUGAUUUGCAAAGAAUUUUAUUCUUCACUCAUUCGUCCAUAUCGGUUACCACUCACUCUAAAUAUUUGAAGCCCAAACAGGGAAAGAAACGGCUUUGUACCCAACAGCUUCGAGCGAGAUAUGUUCUUUCAUAUGCUUUCUUAAUAAUUAUCUUUUGCAAAACUUUCUUAAUUCUUCACUUGGAGAGAGAAUAAAAAUGUUGUAGGCAGGCUGAGGAAAGGUAUUUGGUUUACCCCUCAAUCAUUUUGAUUUAUUAUAUUUGUAAAUUGCAGAUGCAUUUGUUCUUUUUGGGACUUUUUCUAUACACAGAUCAUAUGCAAACAUUAUAGUAUUUGCUAAUUUGAUAAUUUGCUAAUAUAACUAUAAUUUGUUAUUUCAUAAAUUACAUAAAGUCAGAUUCAAAAAGAAAAGACCUUUCUUCACCAGAAAGUUAUACGCAGGCUUGGGAAGCAUGGGAUAAGUGAUAACUGUCACAACCACAAUAUUAGUCCCAUUCAUGGUAUAUACUAUAUAAUAACUUGGGGUUCCUGCCACAUUUUUAUUCCUUUUAGUGUUUAAGUUGUUUAACCCUAUCAUUCGUUUAAGAAUAUAUAUACUCAUGGCUGUCUCUAAUAUCUUUCAAUUGGCUGUCCAAUGUAUUUAUGAUAUUACUGCCUGCUGGUUGUAGCUUCACUAUUUUUGAAUAUUUGUGUUAAAUAGUUGUCGAGUUAAAUGAUCUAUAUAUAUAUAUAUAUAUAUAUAUAUAUAUAUAUAUAUAUAUAUAUAUAUAUAUUAUAUGCAUCACUUACAUAUAUAUAGUGCAAGGGCUUAAUAUAUUCAUGUGAUUACUUAUUUUUUAUGUUUCUGGACUAACUUAGCCGUAUUAUUAUCUCAUGUGCUUCAAACAAGAUAUCUCUUGGUUUGUGCUAUAAAUUACAAUUUGAAUAAAAAAAGAGUAGAAAACAGUUGGACCAGUUGGAUUAAUUAGUGAUAUUUAGUUUGUUCGGCACUAAGUGAUUACCUACCUUUUUAAUUUUUGAAACUGUGGGUGAGGUAAGGGAAUUUUUAGUAUUACCUGGAAAGCUUCAUACGAGAUUUUAAUACAACUACUGAGCUCUGUUAUGUCCCUUUUAGGAUAGCAUAAAACACAAUACCAUAUGCACCUAUAUCUAUAUUUUGGUAGUAGCACUUGGUUGAUAAAUUUUUUGUGUUGGCCGGACAAUGGGGACGUUAUUCACGGACUUAUCGUUGUUGUACGCACGAUGCACGAUGGUCAUGUUGCUGAUCAUGAGACAUCUACUGCACGUGAAAUGCCUUUUUAAAAAAAUUUCAAUUACAAUGCAGGUUCCUGUUUACCACUUGGUUCCUGUUUAUCACUUGCUAUACGGACUCUAGCCAGUCAUCUAAGUCAUGGAUCCAUACAUCAACUCAAGCACCAGGUAAUGUUCUUUUCAGAUGCUCAAUCUAUCUAAGUUAUGGCUGUUAUGUGUUUGAUCAAGUUAGUUUCACCCUCUGUUAUUAAUAGUUUUGUAUCACCAGUUUUACGAGCAAAAUGUACCCUUCCAUAAACCCCUUUUGUGAUUGAAAGAGAUUCACUUUUGUGAUUGAAAGUUAUAGACUCCAGCUUAUCAAUUAUAGAAAAGGGGUGAUAAGCAACAGUGGACCACAAGAGCCUGCCAUGUCUUCUGUUUCUAUAAUAAAACUGUCAUUUCUAGAAUAAUAUAGGAGCCUCCUAUAUUAAGUGGGAUGCUCUUCUUUAGUCUUUCGUCUAUUGUCAUUUGCAAGUCUGCCAUGGAAUUCUAUUGGCACAAGAGUGAAUAUGUGACAAUAGUAUUAGUCUUCUUUUCCUGAUAAAUUUCAAUGCCAAAGUUUUUGGUCAUCCACAGAAUUUUUUUAUUUUUCCAUCAUUCUUUUUUGAACCAUAUAUGUUUUCUGUCUGAAACUUCUUUGUGCAAUCUGUCUGGAGCUGUACUAUGAGGAUGCAAAUUGUUUGUUUUGCUUAUUGAUUAUCAAUCUUUGUGAAUGCA